CCGUGUGAUGUUCGACAACCAAUAUCAACCCGAAAUUUUCGAGCACCAAUUGUGUUGGAUCCCGACCCCUAAGAUGCCACACUCCAGGCUCCAUGGCGAAUGUACUGAAACUGCAGGUUGACGGGUAUUUGGCCCUGACUGUCACGCACGUUGAUUGUAUGUCAUAUGCUGUUGCUUCCGUGAUGCGGUCCCGAACCCAGCAUUGGUUGAUGUUCGAUCCAGAAAACUUCAGAUGGAAGGACAACCCUCGAGCCAAAUUUAUCGUUAUCACCGGGACAAUACGUCGGAUUUUUUUAAACUGCAAGAGUUGAAACAACUGAAGAAUGUUGAUUAUAUAUGAACGCAAUUCCUCCUGCGCCACCUCCUACAAUGAUGGCUCCACCAGCUGCCGGCGCUAACAUUGUCAACCCAGUUCCAAUAAAAAUGGAAUCACCCAAAAAGAACGUCUUUCAGUCAGCCUUUCAAUCCGUUGAAAGGCUUUCACUGGUCCAGGCUACUCAACAACAAGCUUCAGGAAACGGUCUGGCAAUAAGCAGCUU
Long non-coding RNA from Uranotaenia lowii, 539 nucleotides. RefSeq lists it as uncharacterized. The record is from RefSeq and is a predicted model, not a curated record. The transcript has 2 exons. Lineage: Eukaryota; Metazoa; Arthropoda; Insecta; Diptera; Culicidae.